RNAcentral lists this ribosomal RNA (251 nucleotides) under uncultured bacterium. RNAcentral's name for it is "partial 16S ribosomal RNA". It matches the Rfam family "Bacterial small subunit ribosomal RNA", at positions 524 to 776 of the family's 1533-position model. The record is from RNAcentral.
UACGAAGGGGGCUAGCGUUGUUCGGAAUUACUGGCGUAAAGCGUGCGCAGGCGGCUUCUCAAGUCAGGGGUGAAAGCCCAGAGCUCAACUCUGGAACUGCCUUUGAGACUGAGAGGCUUGAGUACGGGAGAGGUGAGUGGAAUUCCCAGUGUAGAGGUGAAAUUCGUAGAUAUGGGGAGGAACACCGGUGGCGAAGGCGGCCACCUGGACGGUAACUGACGCUGAGACGCGAAAGCGUGGGAGCAAACAGG